UGAGGAUUCUUCUUCUGGGGAAAAAUGCAUCAGAAAACAGCCGUGUGGGAAACUUGAUCUUGGGUCGAUCAGCGUUUGACAGUGAAGCUCCUCCAGAUGUUGUGGAGAGAGUCGGAGGAAGACUGAAGCACAGACACGUGACGCUCAUCAACAGUCCUCAGCUGCUCCACACAAACAUCUCAGAUGAUCAGAUCACACAGACGGUCAGAGAGUGCGUGAGUCUGUCUGAUCCAGGACCUCAUGUGGUGCUUCUGCUCCUCCAACAUCAGCAGUGUUCAGCAGAAGAUCAAGAGCGUGUGGAGAAGCUGCAGGACUCUUUCUCUGAGCACCUUCUUCAACACACCCUGGUGCUCAGCACACAAGAGCCCACUGAACCCAAUCAGAUCCUGCAGAAGAUCAUCCAGAAGUGCUCCAACAGACACUUCAGUCUUCAGACAAGCAGCUCUGCUGAUCAUCUUCUGCAGGCCUUUGAGGACAUCGAGCGGAGCAAUGAGGGACGACACCUGAUUUGUGCUCAGUGUGAAGCUUCACAGUUCUGAGAGGCUGAAUGUGUUGGUGUGUGGGAGCGACGGCUCACUGAAAUCCUCCAUCUCAGAGCUGAUCCUGCAACACACACACAGAAGAUCAGACGUGGAUCUUCAUGGUGGUCUGAUCAAUGUGCUGGAGCUUCCAGCUCUGUUCAACACUGGGCUCUCAGAGGAGGAAGUGAUGCGUCAGACUCUCCGCUGUGUGUCUCGCUGUCAUCCUGGAGUUCAUGCUUUCCUCCUCAUUAUUCCUGACGCUCCACUUAAUAAUGAAGACAGAGGUGAAAUGCAGGAGAUCCAGAAGAUCUUCAGCUCCAGAAUCAACAAACACAUCAUGAUCCUCAUCAUGCAGAACUCAGAGCAUCAGACAGCAGAACUCAAUGAAGAAACACAGGCUGUCAUUCAGAGUUUUGGAGGAAGACAUCAUCACUUCAGUCCUGAAACACAAGUGUCCACAUUGAUGGAGAACAUUGAGCAGAUGCUGGAGGAAAACAGAGGAGGCGUUUACUCCACAGAGACAUUCCUGGAGGCACAGAUGAAAAAACUGGUGAAAUAUGAAGAGAUGAAGAAGAAAAUAGAUUCACUGGAGACACAUGUGCUAACACAAGGUUCAAGAGAAAACAGAGAUGAUGAAAUGAGGAUUGUUCUGCUGGGAAAAACUGGCAUUGGAAAAAGUGCUACGGGAAACACCAUCUUAGGAAGAACGGCUUUUAAGUCAGAAGCAUCUUUUGAGUCAGUGACUAAAGAGAGUCAAAGAGAAACAAGUGAAAUCAAUGGCAGGAGCAUCACUGUGAUUGACACUCCAGGAUUGUUUGAUACUGAACUCACUAAUGAGGAGAUCCAGAGAGAAAUCAGACACUGCAUCUCCAUGAUUCUGCCUGGACCACAUGUGUUUCUCCUGCU
Non-coding RNA from Danio rerio (zebrafish), 1427 nucleotides. The record is from Ensembl. Lineage: Eukaryota; Metazoa; Chordata; Actinopteri; Cypriniformes; Danionidae.